UCCUGGAAUUCACAACCCUCAUUUAAAAAUCCUUAUAGUUGCAAUAUUUUUUUUUUAGCCAGUACGUAAGAACACGAUUGCACUUAUUUACAUGAUAGUCUUCUAUAUAACAAAAAUAACCAUGUUGUAAUGACUGUUUCCAACUAUCACCCUUGUUUCAUCACUAGCCCAUUAUGAGACAAGUUGAUUACGCUCUCCAAGUACAAAGAGAAUAGAAUAAAGCAAAAUAAAAGUCUGUGUCUCCUAAUAGAAGACAAAUUCCUUUAAAGACAGUUACUUUUUUUUUUUUUUCAAUUUCUUUGUAUUUCAAGAGGGAUAUAAAGUGCUCUGAAAGGAGUAGGGUAGGUGCCUGAGGUGGGGAAGAAGGAAAGAAAUUUAUACAGAAAAAAUUUAAAAAACUACACUGCCUUAACUAAUCAUCUCAAUAUGCACACAACUUUGUACAGAAGAUUAGUUUUGGGUAAAAACGCUACAUAAUUCACUAGUACUUAUUUCGGCAAUUAAGAACUGAAGUCCAAAUGAAAGACUCCCCAUGCAAAUGUCAUCAGGAGUGACUUUUUUGUGAUUUUGGGUCAGAUGCUAUAUAAAUCAAGGAAGCUCAGUCACACAGUCUGAAUAUGGAGAGGAUAGACAAUGCCGAGAUGGAACCAUCAUCUACUACCUGCAGACUAGCCAGAAAGACCUUGUGGGGAAGCUAAGUAGACUUUACCCCAACAUCAAUCAUUUUACAACAAAAGCAUUUUGUUGCAAGCAUUUGUUUACAAUAAAAGUAAUUUGUGUUAGGAUGGAAAAAAAGCCAUUGGAAUUUCCUCUUGCUAGUAGGGAGGAAGAUUGAUUUAUGAUGUCAUGUCUGAUUAUUUAUAAUUGUAAAUUCAUUAUUUGCAGAUUUUUUUCUAGUGGGAAAUAAUAUGCUGUACAAAGUGGUUAAAAUAAGUUAUUUCUUUUUCACAUUUUUGCAACUGGCAAUUGCUGGUUAUUGUCUGCAGUCUACAAAACUGAGUAUCACAUAUGUACUGCUUGAGAGUUUCCCCUGGAAACCAGAAUAAUCAUCCUCCCAGCUCAUGAACAUUUUAAAGAACAAUACCCAUUUUUUUUUCCAGAAAAUGGAUGGAAUGUAACUUUUCACAAAUACAAAAUUAUUUCAUUUUCUAAAUGUAAGGGACACCCCUCUAUAAAAAUAACAGUCCCUCCCCACUCCCACCCCUACAUCUCCUUCUAAUUAUAAAAUGGUAGAACCAUCUCAGAUUACUAAUGUGAAAGCAGGAAGUAAAUAUAUUAUGUACAUGUACAAAACACAUCAGUAUUUCACACCAUUUACAUUCAUAUGAAGUCUUUUUAUUGAUCUUCCUUUGCAAUUUCACAAGAAUAAAGUUGAGAUAACUUACAAAAACAAGCAGUCCCUUGCUUAUAACUGCACAAACAUUCUAGCCAGAGGCAUCUUCUUUGCAAACAGAGCAACAUUAUCCUUCAACAUUUUGCAGAAGUAAGGGCUGCUGACAGUGAGAAGAUCUGUGGGGUCUCCUUCAGCUUUUUAGAGUUUGUGACACUCUUUCCUCAUUUGAUAAAUGUAGACCAAAUUCUCAACUACCGAAGAAAUUGUAUGAUGAAAGGCAAGUAACUGGUUGUUGAAUUCAUGACCCAAGUCAAAUUAAUCUGCUGCAAGAAUAAUUGCGAUUACUCCAGCAGAGGGCACUCUGCUCCUUGCAAUAACAUCCUACUGAACAGUAAGUACCAUGGAUGCCAACACAAAUUCAGACCGAAAAGUCCAUGUAUGUGUUAGUUCUUCAACUGCUCUACUAUACCCAUUAGUACAGGCAACAGUUUUGUAUCUUCUUCGAAAGAGCAGGAUAUACUAUAUUUAGCUAGCUCUUAUACAUGAAAAUUCUUUGGCUAUUUAAAAUCUUCACAUUCUCAAAGAGAACAAUGUUCUGAGUUCAGUAAAGCGCUAGAUUUGUUGGAAAGUUUUGAAGGAAAAGGGGACUAAACACUAGACUUUAAAGAUGGUGUGGUACUAAGGCCACAAUUCAUUUUUUAGAUUUCGGGAUUUAGUAAGGUCAAUCAACAGUCUGCAACAGAAAACCCCAUAAGGUUUAAUGGUUUCAUUCAACCAUGCAACCCACCUUCGCUUUUAUUUAUGAGAACAUUGGGAGAAAAUUCAACUAGUCAAUGGAAGAAACAUGUGUUCAUUUGGAUGGUGAUCAGUCUUUGGUUUAUAUAGCACACAUGGUCCCCACAUUACCCUGCUUCUCCAAGCCUGUCACUUCACUAAGGAUAACAGACCACAGAUAUUCUGCCAAGCAAUGACUUUGGGUAAUUGAGAUUAAGCGACCUUCUCUAAGGAUUUUUCUCCCUCACUGUGUUCAGACAUUGCAGACCUCUUAAUAGACGUGUAUAUUUUUGUCUUAUCAUCAGCAAAUAUUUAUCAGGUGGCCACAGAGCAAAUGGCUCUGUAUUAAGUGCAAACGUCAGUGGUAGCACAGAAUUAGAAGAUCUUUGAUCACUGAAAUUCCUGAAAAAGCCACGUGAUUAUGAAGCACUCAAGGCAGGUGAAGAGAGAUGUGACUGACCUUAGCAGGUUCUUGUAGAACAAGCAGGAUUGCAAUCAAAUUGCUCGAUAUUAAGGGGCCACGUCUAGCAUCUGGACUUGCUUCAUUAGUUCUGGGAUGAUAACUUGGUGUCAAUAAAAGGUGUAGAGUGGAAGAGUGUGGCUAUUGAUCUGUGGGUCUUUAAAAAUUAAUGUUCCUAUUACACAGGGUCUGGGGUUGAGUGAGGACAAAAGGAGGGAAAAGGAAGAGCUAAGGGAUGAUGAGAAACUCAUAUUAGCUUCUUAGAAUUAAUUUAUUUUUCAGGCAAUCCAGACCUUCUUUGCAAUCAUGAGUAUUUUAACUCAUGAGUAUUUAAUUCCUUAAAAAUACAAACUCCCCAAAACCCAGGUCAGCUCUAAACCUAGGGAUGAGCAUUUACUUGGGGACAGCACGCACAUUUUGUUAAGCACAGAAGCUUUCCAGCCCUGCUUUGACCAGCUCCCUGAUCAGAGAUCCUGCCAUCCUCUUUUCUUACUUCCUGCAGGGUGACACUCCCAUCCCAUUUUAACUGCCAACAUCAAACGUAUUCAUCCAUGCAAUGGCAUGGAUGAAGGACCUCGGUGGCCAAGAGCACUGCAUGAAGAACCAUGCAUCCCCAUCUUAAGAGGGUAGUCUCUUCGUGUCUCUUUGUCAGUCUUCAGGAAUUAGUGGCCCUCAGAUCACUUACGAUGAGCAAGCACUUGUGCUAAGUAGUUAGGAAGAAUGGGCAUUCCAUCAGGUACAGUAUACAAGUUUUUCCAAGAAAUCCUAACCCUGGGGGCUCAGGCGAAUGAGGAGGGUCAAAUGCUGAGGGUGGGAGAAAGCAGAUCUAGACAGCAUUCUGGAAUUGUUGCUUUGCCAUUAUUUGCCCAGAAAACAUUUAUGGCAAGGAAGCCUGAAAACAUGGCAAUGGUUGUAAGAUGGGUUGCGAUACAACUGGUGAUGUGAGAAGUGAAAAUGAAACUGACUCCUUUAGGGAGGACAUUGGUUUAUAGUAAACAGGUUUGCCUCAUCAGAAGUGAAUAUGGAUAUUGCUACACAAUAAAAAGAGGAAAAACACCAACAACAGUAACAAUGGUAAUCACAAUAAUGAUAAUGACUCUGUAGGUAUAGAACCUCCAGUUUUUUGUGUUCUGAAGGUUAUUUCAGAGUUUCUUGCAAGAGAGAAAACAAAUCAGAAAAAAAGGGGAAGAGAGAAGAUGGGAAAAUAAUUUAUGUAUGGGUAUACAAAGUAAGAUAUAGGCAGUCAGAGAAAAACAGAUACAGACAGAAAAGGAAAAGAAACUUAGAGAAGAUAUAAAAAUGCUACUGGAAAUUGCCUCUGUGGCCUUAGUACCAGAAAAGACUGGGCUCUCGCUCCACAGAGGGAGUGACUCCAUAGCCCAGAUUUUUUGAAAAGUUUUGAUUUAAGGAUUUUUUUUUAAGUCAGGGUGAUACAUUCAAUGGAUAACUAAAUGUCAUUUAAUUUUUUAUGCUCUGCAAAAAUAUCCAUCUAAACAAAACUCAUAAAUAAGAAAGAAUCCUAUGUUAGAUCACUGGCAUUGAUUUGGUUUUGAGAGUAUGGUAGCCUCAGGGAUGUCAGGGCAGUAACUGAAAUGGCCACUGGGCAUGGUGAGCUUUGAAAUGACCAAACCCAGAUCUAUGAAUUUCCAGGAUAUUUCACCAGGAUGAAGGAAAUGUUAAAAACAAGAAAACAAAACAAAACAAAACAAAAUGAACAUUUUUGGACAGAGCUUUGCCUCCAUGAUUCUGAUCAUUACCAUGUGAUGUCAAAAAUGGUUCUCCCAAAUACUCUUCAAUGAACAUACAUCACUUACUCAUUCAAGACAUUAUCUACCGUGUCCCUACUGCACACUAAGGAUUAUGCUAGAGGCUAUGGAUAUAGGGGAGAUUAAGACAAUCCCUAUCCUGAAGGAGCUCAUUGUCUGGUGGGCAGGUUGACCAUUUACUAGGCAAUUACAACACAGUGAGAUAAGCACCAGGAUGGAAGAUGUACCAGGUAUUACAGGAGCAGGAAGUGAUUGUAGCAUGAGAAGAUAAGGCCAGGGACAGAACUUGAAGAAACCCAAACACCUAGAGCAAAAGACCCAAACUGGUGACCCUUGAUGCUGUUUUGUUUGGCCUGGACAAUGUUUUGUUUUGUUUCAAAUGUGAAUUAGUUACCAAUAUUUGCAAGUCAGGAC
Molecule: long non-coding RNA, 4747 nt
Filed under: Homo sapiens (human)
Lineage: Eukaryota; Metazoa; Chordata; Mammalia; Primates; Hominidae
Description: HSALNT0078618
Source: RNAcentral